Molecule: ribosomal RNA, 625 nt
Filed under: uncultured Verrucomicrobiota bacterium
Lineage: Bacteria; Pseudomonadati; Verrucomicrobiota
Description: bacterial SSU rRNA
Rfam family: Bacterial small subunit ribosomal RNA
Source: RNAcentral
UAUUGUAGCAAUACGACGAAAAGUUCAGUGGCGAUCGGGUGCGUAACACGUGGGCAAUCUGCCUUAAAGUGUGGGAUAGCUCGGCGAAAGCCGAAUUAAUACCGCAUGUGGCUACUGGAGACAUCUUCGGGACGCUAAAGGUGGCGCAAGCUACCGCUUUUUGAGGAGCCCGCGGCCUAUCAGCUUGUUGGUGAGGUAACGGCUCACCAAGGCGUUGACGGGUAGCUGGUCUGAGAGGACGACCAGCCACACUGGGACUGAGACACGGCCCAGACACCUACGGGUGGCAGCAGUCGAGAAUUUUUGACAAUGGGGGAAACCCUGAUCGAGCGACGCCGCGUGGAGGAUGAAGGUCUUCGGGUUGUAAACUCCUGUCAUUUGGGAACAAGGCGUAUUUAUUAACUGUAAGUACGUUGAUAGUACCAGAAGAGGAAGAGACGGCUAACUCUGUGCCAGCAGCCGCGGUAAUACAGAGGUCUCAAGCGUUGUUCGGAUUCAUUGGGCGUAAAGGGUGUGUAGGUGGCGCGCUAAGUCGGGUGUGAAAUUUCGGAGCUUAACUCCGAAACUGCAUUCGAUACUGGCGUGCUUGAGGACUGGAGAGGAGACUGGAAUUCACGGUGUAGCA